CCAGCUGGCUGCAACUGUUUAUUAAAAACACAGCACUGUGCAAACACGAAAGUGGACGUAUACGGUGUGACGCCUGCCCGGUGCCGGAAGGUUAAUUGAUGGGGUCAGCGCAAGCGAAGCUCCUGAUCGAAGCCCCGGUAAACGGCGGCCGUAACUAUAACGGUCCUAAGGUAGCGAAAUUCCUUGUCGGGUAAGUUCCGACCUGCACGAAUGGCGUAAUGAUGGCCAGGCUGUCUCCACCCGAGACUCAGUGAAAUUGAACUCGCUGUGAAGAUGCAGUGUACCCGCGGCAAGACGGAAAGACCCCGUGAACCUUUACUAUAGCUUGACACUGAACAUUGAGCCUUGAUGUGUAGGAUAGGUGGGAGGCUUUGAAGUGUGGACGCCAGUCUGCAUGGAGCCGACCUUGAAAUACCACCCUUUAAUGUUUGAUGUUCUAACGUGGACCCGUGAUCCGGGUUGCGGACAGUGUCUGGUGGGUAGUUUGACUGGGGCGGUCUCCUCCUAAAGAGUAACGGAGGAGCACGAAGGUUGGCUAAUCCUGGUCGGACAUCAGGAGGUUAGUGCAAUGGCAUAAGCCAGCUUGACUGCGAGCGUGACGGCGCGAGCAGGUGCGAAAGCAGGUCAUAGUGAUCCGGUGGUUCUGAAUGGAAGGGCCAUCGCUCAACGGAUAAAAGGUACUCCGGGGAUAACAGGCUGAUACCGCCCAAGAGUUCAUAUCGACGGCGGUGUUUGGCACCUCGAUGUCGGCUCAUCACAUCCUGGGGCUGAAGUAGGUCCCAAGGGUAUGGCUGUUCGCCAUUUAAAGUGGUACGCGAGCUGGGUUUAGAACGUCGUGAGACAGUUCGGUCCCUAUCUGCCGUGGGCGCUGGAGAACUGAGGGGGGCUGCUCCUAGUACGAGAGGACCGGAGUGGACGCAUCACUGGUGUUCGGGUUGUCAUGCCAAUGGCACUGCCCGGUAGCUAAAUGCGGAAGAGAUAAGUGCUGAAAGCAUCUAAGCACGAAACUUGCCCCGAGAUGAGUUCUCCCUGAGACUUUAGGUCUCCUGAAGGAACGUUGAAGACGACGACGUUGAUAGGCCGGGUGUGUAAGCGCAGCGAUGCGUUGAGCUAACCGGUACUAAUGAACCGUGAGGCUUAACCUUA
Molecule: ribosomal RNA, 1146 nt
Filed under: Salmonella enterica
Lineage: Bacteria; Pseudomonadati; Pseudomonadota; Gammaproteobacteria; Enterobacterales; Enterobacteriaceae
Description: partial 23S ribosomal RNA
Rfam family: Bacterial large subunit ribosomal RNA
Source: RNAcentral